RNAcentral lists this ribosomal RNA (1555 nucleotides) under Salmonella enterica subsp. enterica serovar Agona str. 632182-2. RNAcentral's name for it is "bacterial SSU rRNA". It matches the Rfam family "Bacterial small subunit ribosomal RNA". Lineage: Bacteria; Pseudomonadati; Pseudomonadota; Gammaproteobacteria; Enterobacterales; Enterobacteriaceae. The record is from RNAcentral.
AAAUUGAAGAGUUUGAUCAUGGCUCAGAUUGAACGCUGGCGGCAGGCCUAACACAUGCAAGUCGAACGGUAACAGGAAGCAGCUUGCUGCUUUCGCUGACGAGUGGCGGACGGGUGAGUAAUGUCUGGGAAACUGCCUGAUGGAGGGGGAUAACUACUGGAAACGGUGGCUAAUACCGCAUAACGUCGCAAGACCAAAGAGGGGGACCUUCGGGCCUCUUGCCAUCAGAUGUGCCCAGAUGGGAUUAGCUUGUUGGUGAGGUAACGGCUCACCAAGGCGACGAUCCCUAGCUGGUCUGAGAGGAUGACCAGCCACACUGGAACUGAGACACGGUCCAGACUCCUACGGGAGGCAGCAGUGGGGAAUAUUGCACAAUGGGCGCAAGCCUGAUGCAGCCAUGCCGCGUGUAUGAAGAAGGCCUUCGGGUUGUAAAGUACUUUCAGCGGGGAGGAAGGUGUUGUGGUUAAUAACCGCAGCAAUUGACGUUACCCGCAGAAGAAGCACCGGCUAACUCCGUGCCAGCAGCCGCGGUAAUACGGAGGGUGCAAGCGUUAAUCGGAAUUACUGGGCGUAAAGCGCACGCAGGCGGUCUGUCAAGUCGGAUGUGAAAUCCCCGGGCUCAACCUGGGAACUGCAUUCGAAACUGGCAGGCUUGAGUCUUGUAGAGGGGGGUAGAAUUCCAGGUGUAGCGGUGAAAUGCGUAGAGAUCUGGAGGAAUACCGGUGGCGAAGGCGGCCCCCUGGACAAAGACUGACGCUCAGGUGCGAAAGCGUGGGGAGCAAACAGGAUUAGAUACCCUGGUAGUCCACGCCGUAAACGAUGUCUACUUGGAGGUUGUGCCCUUGAGGCGUGGCUUCCGGAGCUAACGCGUUAAGUAGACCGCCUGGGGAGUACGGCCGCAAGGUUAAAACUCAAAUGAAUUGACGGGGGCCCGCACAAGCGGUGGAGCAUGUGGUUUAAUUCGAUGCAACGCGAAGAACCUUACCUGGUCUUGACAUCCACAGAAUUUUCAGAGAUGCGGAAUGUGCCUUCGGGAACUGUGAGACAGGUGCUGCAUGGCUGUCGUCAGCUCGUGUUGUGAAAUGUUGGGUUAAGUCCCGCAACGAGCGCAACCCUUAUCCUUUGUUGCCAGCGAUUAGGUCGGGAACUCAAAGGAGACUGCCAGUGAUAAACUGGAGGAAGGUGGGGAUGACGUCAAGUCAUCAUGGCCCUUACGACCAGGGCUACACACGUGCUACAAUGGCGCAUACAAAGAGAAGCGACCUCGCGAGAGCAAGCGGACCUCAUAAAGUGCGUCGUAGUCCGGAUUGGAGUCUGCAACUCGACUCCAUGAAGUCGGAAUCGCUAGUAAUCGUGGAUCAGAAUGCCACGGUGAAUACGUUCCCGGGCCUUGUACACACCGCCCGUCACACCAUGGGAGUGGGUUGCAAAAGAAGUAGGUAGCUUAACCUUCGGGAGGGCGCUUACCACUUUGUGAUUCAUGACUGGGGUGAAGUCGUAACAAGGUAACCGUAGGGGAACCUGCGGUUGGAUCACCUCCUUACCUUAAAGAAGC